Molecule: ribosomal RNA, 460 nt
Filed under: uncultured bacterium
Lineage: Bacteria
Description: partial 16S ribosomal RNA
Rfam family: Bacterial small subunit ribosomal RNA
Source: RNAcentral
CCUACGGGUGGCAGCAGUGAGGAAUAUUGGUCAAUGGGCUUACGCCUGAACCAGCCAAGUCGCGUGAGGGAAGACUGCCCUAUGGGUUGUAAACCUCUUUUGUCAGGGAGCAACGCCGGCUACGUGUAGCCGGCCUGAGAGUAUCUGAAGAAAAAGCAUCGGCUAACUCCGUGCCACCAGCCCCGGUAAUACGGAGGAUGCGACCGUUAUCCGGAUUUAUUGGGUUUAAGGGUUGCGUAGGCGGAAUGCCAAGUCAGCGGUAAAAUCGCGGGGCUCAACCGCGCUCCGCCGUUGAAACUGGCGUUCUUGAGUGGGCGAGAGGUAGGCGGAAUGCGUGGUGUAGCGGUGAAAUGCAUAGAGAUUACGCAGAACUCCGAUUGCGAAGGCAGCAUACCGGCGCCCAACUGACGCUGAAGCACGAAAGCGUGGGUAUCGAACAGGAUUAGAUACCCCUGUAGUC